CUAUAAUAUAGGAAUUUGAGAAACUCCCGUUGGAGAUGCUCUUAUUAACAGAUUCAGCCCCUAAUUUCAUAAACCUCAACUGGAACUGUAGAAUCAUUACUUCAAAACCCUAACUAACAUUUUCGACUUGUUCUUCAUCCUUAUACCCUAGUUAACGUCGAACCCACCUCUAAUCUCCCCCUUAAACAAUUUAUUUCGUCUUCUAAAUCUUCUCUGAACAUCUCUACGAAACCCUAAUUCAUUGAUUAUACAAAUCUCCAAUUCUCUCUUCAAUUUAUACCUAAUUCAAACAUAGCUGGCUUUAAUUCCAGCAUAACCCCUUAGAUUCAACUCUGAUUUCACUAUUGUUCUUCACCUUGAACUCAUACUUAAACCCUAACUUUUGAUCUGAAAGUAAACCAAAUAUUUGCUGAAAUUGAGAAGACGAGCGAGAGAAUGAGCAUUUGCCAUGAAUAUUUGAUGUUUGUGAGCUGCAGAUGAAGAAUUCUACUGUUAUGGUGGUGGUGAUUUCAUCGACGGAGAAGAUCUAAAAUGUUUGAUUGAUGAGUAUAUUUGUAAUGGGUAUGAUUGAAUUGGCUUCUGAAAUUGAUGGGAAGAGAAGAUGACGAAAAUGAAAUUGAUAUCGAGUAUAUUUGAGAUGACGAAAAUGAAAUGGAGAUCGAGAAAGAAAUAGAUGGAACUGAAAUUGAUUAGAGAAUCAGAGAUUUAUUGGUCUUGAAAUUGAUUUGCAUCUGGUGAAAUGGGAAUUAGCUGGUGGAGGAAUCGAUUUUUUGUUGAUUUAUUGGGGAUUUUUGGGGAGGAUUUUUGUUGAUUUGCAUCUUGAAAGAAUAAGCUUCAGAGUUUGGCUGGACAACAUGAAGGCAAAUUUUAGAAGGUGCUGUGGUUGUUGGAGUUGUGCAGCUGAUGCAAAGAAGUUGCAGAUGGAUGUGAUGCUAGGUGGUAGUAGUGUUGGUAUUGAACUGAAGCAACAGAAUUAAGUCGCAGCUGAGAUUACAAGAGUUGAGAAGGUUAUGAAUUUGAGAUGGUCAUUGAGCUGUGGCAAUGGCUAGGCAGUGUGCUGAUGGACUUGAAGAGAAUGGGUAGGCAGGUUGUGUGGAGUUGAUGCUACACAAUGGUGCUGAUAGGGCUAAUAACCACCACGUUUUUCCUGGUUUUAUUGGGGAAAAUCAGUUUCAAACUUUCAAUAUGAUGCCAAUGCAUCAACGCAGCUGCAGUUAUUUGGAAAUUAGUGCAGGUUGACCCCAGUGGAGAAAUCAUGAUUACCUGCACGAUCUAUUGUUUUGGAGUACCUUGCUGCAAGAUACGAAGUUGACCCCAGUGGAGAAAUCAUGAUACUGAAAAAUUUCUGCCCGGUAACUAUGACAAGACUAGGUGACCGCAGAUCUCUCGAGUCCACAAAGUUACCACCAAUGCAGCUAAUUGGUCACAGGGGCAUAGGUCUUACCCCUGGUCUGGGGGUGAUUCUUCUCCAAGUUUCCACUUUCCAGUGCUAGUUCAUUCAAAAGCAUUGAGGGAUCGGAUAAUGUUUUCAUAACAUCUUAAUCUUCAUAUUGUUCAGGAAACUUAACUUUUGGUAAGAAACAUCUAUAUCACUGCCAUUUUUUGAAUGUGUGUUUAACACUGGCAGUUUAACUUGAAUGAAUGUAAAUGUGUUACACUGGCAGGUUAAUUUGUAUGUGAAUUACUUUCGGCAAUUUGGU
Molecule: long non-coding RNA, 1700 nt
Organism: Papaver somniferum (opium poppy)
Lineage: Eukaryota; Viridiplantae; Streptophyta; Magnoliopsida; Ranunculales; Papaveraceae
Exons: 4
Source: RefSeq, a predicted model, not a curated record